This 492-nucleotide ribosomal RNA is filed under the name uncultured bacterium. RNAcentral describes it as "partial 16S ribosomal RNA". It matches the Rfam family "Bacterial small subunit ribosomal RNA", at positions 29 to 507 of the family's 1533-position model. The record is from RNAcentral.
AGUGAACGCUGGCGGUAGGCCUAACACAUGCAAGUCGAACGGCAGCACAGUAAGAGCUUGCUCUUACGGGUGGCGAGUGGCGGACGGGUGAGGAAUACAUCGGAAUCUACUUUUUCGUGGGGGAUAACGUAGGGAAACUUACGCUAAUACCGCAUACGACCUACGGGUGAAAGCAGGGGAUCUUCGGACUUUGCGCGAUUGAAUGAGCCGAUGCCGGAUUAGCUAGUUGGCGGGGUAAAGGCCCACCAAGGCGACGAUCCGUAGCUGGUCUGAGAGGAUGAUCAGCCACACUGGAACUGAGACACGGUCCAGACUCCUACGGGAGGCAGCAGUGGGGAAUAUUGGACAAUGGGCGAAAGCCUGAUCCAGCCAUACCGCGUGGGUGAAGAAGGCCUUCGGGUUGUAAAGCCCUUUUGUUAGGAAAGAAAAGCAGCAGAUUAAUACCCCGCUGUUCUGACGGUACCCAAAGAGUAAGCACCGGCUAACUUCGUG